This is a non-coding RNA of Penaeus vannamei (Pacific white shrimp), 1021 nucleotides long. Lineage: Eukaryota; Metazoa; Arthropoda; Malacostraca; Decapoda; Penaeidae. The record is from RefSeq and is a predicted model, not a curated record.
UGGGCAGGCUGUUCUUGAGGGAGGUGUUGCCUUGACUGAAGAGCAGAUACUAGAACAAACAGGGCGCAUUACAGCAGCAGGCUGAACUUCAGCAGCAACAACAACAGCAGCAGGAGCAAUAUACAGGGUAUUUUCCAGAGGCUGAUGAAGAUACUUUUGUGCCACCGCCAGACUUGAAUGUUCCACCUGGGAUGAUUGUGCCAGAGACUGUGAAGCAAAAUAAGAUCAUAGUUAAAACAUCCAAGUUCAUUGUGACACAAGGUGGACAGAUGGAGAUUGUAAUCAAGACAAAGCAAGCUGGAAAUCCAAUGUUUAGUUUUUCUCUCCUUUGAACAACCCAUUAAAUGCUUACUACAAACAUAUGGUAUCCAUGAUAAAAAGUGGCAGAUAUCGGCCAAGUGAGGAAGCAGAGUCAGGAAGAAAUAGGAAAGAGAGCGAGGGAAGUGAAGGUCAAUACCUGCAUCCAAGCCUCUCAGCUGGCAUAAAGCCUGAUCUUGCACCUGGAACACCCCCACUGCCAUUCACAAGCCAACAGCUGAUUGUGCAUAUUCAAAACUAAUACACAAGAUUAAAGAAAAACAGAAAGGCACUGUGGUAGUAGAGGGUAAAGACUCACCAGCACCAGUACUGGUUGCUUCAUCAACGCCGGUAUCUGCAGCCUCAGCAGAGGUUGGAGAUCCCCUGAAGAAAAAGAAGUUACAGACAGACAUCACACCAGUAGGUUCUCCCAAGAUCACUAGCUUGGUUGAUUAUCCUUCAUUCAAUCAGACAGCAGAACAUAAUUCAGAUGAUGACAACAAUGAUUCGGAGAUGGAUGAAAAUGAACGGUGCCUAAGCAAAGAGAUGGACUGUCGGGACACAGAGUAUAGUAGCAUUAAGUGGCCUCCUCCAGAUGUGCAAAUGGUCAUUGACAAGAUGGCCAGCUACAUCAUCAAGAAUGGUGCUGAUUUUGAAGCCAUGGUCAGAAGUCGAGAUGACCCCAGAUUUGAUUUUAUGAAGAAGGACCAUGAGUUUUAUUCCC